RNAcentral lists this small RNA (1145 nucleotides) under Human betaherpesvirus 5. RNAcentral describes it as "RNA5.0". Lineage: Duplodnaviria; Heunggongvirae; Peploviricota; Herviviricetes; Herpesvirales; Orthoherpesviridae. RNAcentral also lists the same sequence under 1 other name. The record is from RNAcentral.
AACACCCACAAACAACGUCACGACGCAACGUGGUUAAACAGUACGUUUAUUAAAGUAACUGGGUGAACGACAUCGGAGCGGACUGCAAAUCGCAACGCUACUUUCUCGAGUGCAGAUACUCUUCGAGACGGCUAAACAACGUGUCCAACUCGCUGAGACCUUUCCGCGUGCCGUUAUCCGAUUUCCUUUCCGCCUCCUGAGACAGCCGACUAAUCACGGACUUAUCUCCGCAACCUAACAGAGGCUGGGAGCCCGACAAAAGUAAAACAGCGUGCUAUGAACACGUUGUUACCUCUGCGCGGACAGCGCCGCCACAGAGACACUUACGCAUUGCCGCAUGUCUUUGUAGAUGGAUUCUAGCGUCGAGCGCAUACUAUGCAAUUCCGUCUUAAGUCCAGGAUAGACGUGGUCGCCUGCGGGGAACACGAUCUCCAGAUACCGCCUCAACAACCAGUCCAUGACGCUGCAUCCCCAACAGCCUUUGACCACCGUACCGUCGAGCCACACGGAGUAGUCGUCCUCACGUUGCUACAAGAGGAAAACUACGUCACCCGACACGCGGAAAAGAAAGACCGUCGCAAUAAACCGUACCUACGUGACCUACCAACGUAGGUUUUACUCGAUGAAAGGUGACGCGGAGAUCUUGCAAUCUGGUCGCGUAAUCCUCUGGACGACACUGCGGCUUUGUAUUCUUUAUCGUCGUCGUCGUUGCCGGCUUCGCCUCCUCGGAAGCGCCUAGAAAAAAGACGAUCAGGACCAGAGAGGAAGAGACCAUCACCGACAGCAUCGCCGCAGCAUGCCGCCCCAAUCCGCCGCCCAACUGCGCGUCCCAGGUACCACUCGUAGACUGUCAGCCUUACGAGGAGACACCGCGGACCGGGGAAACGGAUAAGUUUACGAACAAAAAUCUCAAGAGAAAGAUGCUGACCCGAUAAGUACCGUCACGGAGACACGGUGGUUUUUAUUGAAUUUCCAGUGUAUCGAGCCACCGUGAUGCAGGUACGGUGGUUUUAUGUGAAGUGCCGCUAUCUAUAGGCGAUGUGUUCCCUGACGGUGUGUGUUUUUUGGGGAUAGACAACGUGGUUCUUGUACGUGGUUUUUACCCUGCUCAAUAAAGUCACGUUUUCCUUACACGGUGUUGUGUC